Molecule: unclassified non-coding RNA, 326 nt
Filed under: soil metagenome
Description: partial contains 5.8S ribosomal RNA, internal transcribed spacer 2, and large subunit ribosomal RNA
Rfam family: 5.8S ribosomal RNA (bases 1-120)
Source: RNAcentral
GAUGAAGAACGUAGCGAAAUGCGAUAAGUAAUGUGAAUUGCAGAAUUCAGUGAAUCAUCGAAUCUUUGAACGCACAUUGCGCCCCUUGGUAUUCCGGGGGGCAUGCCUGUUCGAGCGUCAUUAUAACCCCUCAAGCUCAGCUUGGUGUUGGGGCCUGCCAACUGGCAGCCCUUAAAAUCAGUGGCGGCGCCAUCUGGCUCUAAGCGUAGUAAUUUCUCUCGCUAUAGGGUCCCGGUGGAUGCUUGCCAACAACCCCCAAUUUUCUAUGGUUGACCUCGGAUCAGGUAGGGAUACCCGCUGAACUUAAGCAUAUCAAUAAGCGGAGA